AUAUUUCGGAACUGAGUCUAGUUCCUUCGAUAUCAGUGCAUUCUUAUUUACAAACAUCAUAUUCACCUGAGUACAUAACACCAACACACACAAAAUAAUCACAUAUCAUACAAUGCACUGAUAUCGAAGGAACUAGACUCAGUUCCGAAAUAU
Non-coding RNA from Paramuricea clavata, 153 nucleotides. The record is from the annotation of a GenBank genome assembly. NCBI's taxonomy places the organism in Eukaryota, Metazoa, Cnidaria, Anthozoa, Malacalcyonacea, Plexauridae.